Molecule: ribosomal RNA, 455 nt
Filed under: uncultured bacterium
Lineage: Bacteria
Description: bacterial SSU rRNA
Rfam family: Bacterial small subunit ribosomal RNA
Source: RNAcentral
UACGGGAGGCAGCAGUGGGGAAUAUUGCACAAUGGGCGCAAGCCUGAUGCAGCCAUGCCGCGUGUAUGAAAAAGGCCUUCGGGUUGUAAAGUACUUUCAGUCGUGAGGAAGGUGUUAAGGUUAAUAACCUUAGCAAUUGACGUUAGCGACAGAAGAAGCACCGGCUAACUCCGUGCCAGCAGCCGCGGUAAUACGGAGGGUGCGAGCGUUAAUCGGAAUUACUGGGCGUAAAGGGCACGCAGGCGGUUAAUUAAGUUGGAUGUGAAAUCCCCGGGCUUAACCUGGGAAUGGCAUUCAAGACUGGUUAGCUAGAGUCUUGUAGAGGGGGUAGAAUUCCAUGUGUAGCGGUGAAAUGCGUAGAGAUGUGGAGGAAUACCGGUGGCGAAGGGCGGCCCCUGGGACAAAGACUGACGCUCAUGUGCGAAAGCGUGGGGAGCAAACAGGGAUUAGAUACC